Molecule: long non-coding RNA, 410 nt
Organism: Polypterus senegalus (gray bichir)
Lineage: Eukaryota; Metazoa; Chordata; Cladistia; Polypteriformes; Polypteridae
Exons: 3
Source: RefSeq, a predicted model, not a curated record
GUGAAAACUGCAAAUUAGAGAAACUGAGCCUGUCCUUUUGUGGUCUCAUCUCCAGAUGUUCCUCAUCUAUCUCCUCAGUCUUCUCUUCUCCACACUCACAGCUGACUAAACUGGACCUGAUCAGAAAAAAACUGGGAGAUUCAGGAGCUCGUCAGCUGUGUGAGGGUCUGCGGACCCCAAACUGUAAAUUAGAGACACUGUGGCUGCAGUUUAAUGAGAUCAGUGAGAGUGAGAAGAUGAACCUAAGGUCAAUACAGGAGGAGCUGAACAGGACUGGACGGUAGGUGGAUAUCGUGGACAUGCUGAUCAACUGCCCCCCAGUGACAGCGCCCCCUAUCCACUCUCUCUGAAUUCUACUCUUUAUUCUUUAAUAGUCUCCUACACUCUCCUCCACAUUAAAUAAACUCUCC